GGUGCCUUAGCUCAGUCGGUAGAGCAAAGGACUGAAAAUCCUUGUGUCGCUGGUUCGAUUCCAGCAGGCACCACCA
RNAcentral lists this transfer RNA (76 nucleotides) under Pedobacter jamesrossensis. RNAcentral's name for it is "tRNA-Phe". It matches the Rfam family "tRNA". From Rfam's summary of the family: Transfer RNA (tRNA) molecules are approximately 80 nucleotides in length. Their secondary structure includes four short double-helical elements and three loops (D, anti-codon, and T loops). The record is from RNAcentral. Lineage: Bacteria; Pseudomonadati; Bacteroidota; Sphingobacteriia; Sphingobacteriales; Sphingobacteriaceae. RNAcentral also lists the same sequence under 1 other name.